AACGAGACGCUUCGGUCGUUCGUACGAAAACAUUGUCGAUUUUGGCUACGUUUCGUUUCAUGCACACUCGUAAUGCGCAUGGCAUAAUCACGUUAUCCGUGUAAUUCCUCAAAUAUUAAAUACGAACGAAAUGAUACAUGUACAACAUGCGCAGCAUGAGUGAAAUGGACCGUAAUCUUUGUUAUUCGUUUUCACGUUCGAAGAUCUGCUGUAACGAUUAAACACUACCUACUUUCUCUCUCUCUCCUGCUCGCCGAUUCGAGGAAACUAUUGUCCGAUUCCAAGAAGGAGGGAUUCCGCGACAGGAAAUUGAAGCGCUCCCAAAACUGAAGAGCGAGCCUUCCACGGGGCUGACUUAACCACGAGGUGAA
Molecule: long non-coding RNA, 371 nt
Organism: Solenopsis invicta (red fire ant)
Lineage: Eukaryota; Metazoa; Arthropoda; Insecta; Hymenoptera; Formicidae
Exons: 2
Source: RefSeq, a predicted model, not a curated record